This 490-nucleotide long non-coding RNA is filed under the name Astyanax mexicanus (Mexican tetra). RNAcentral's name for it is "lncRNA (ENSAMXG00005011873.1)". Lineage: Eukaryota; Metazoa; Chordata; Actinopteri; Characiformes; Acestrorhamphidae. The record is from RNAcentral.
CACCUACAGCCCCUCGAGCGCUCUGUGCGCUGACAGUAACAUAAACAACAUUGACAAAACGAGACAAUGCAUUUUAUUAAGGCAGCACCUGCACAAGACACAGCACUGUGUGCUGAUGUUCAAGGACUUUCUCUUAUGAGACUACUGUGGAACUUCAUCAGACAUGUUCUUACCUUUUUUAGGCUUCAAGGUUGCAGAGUGAACACUGGCAUUACUUCAGGUUUUCUGCUGGGCCAUUUCUAAUCUGAUUCUUGUUUCAUUUGAGAGAGGUUAUUCUGAGUCAUGGAGAAAAGUGUACUGUCGGGAAAAGGCUGCUAUUUUUAUAUUCCAGGAAAACAUAAGAGAUGUUGAGUUUUGAUUGUAUGGCAUCUCUGCACUUUUGUUACGCAACCAAAUGGCUUCUGCUGGCCGGCUAUUUACGUCUUUAUGUCCGAACUAACAUGAACACAGGCCUGCAUACCUGUGUGAAGAUCCAACUGUGGAUUUUUCA